GACGAACGCUGGCGGCGUGCCUAAUACAUGCAAGUUGAGCGCUGAAGGUUGGUACUUGUACCGACUGGAUGAGCAGCGAACGGGUGAGUAACGCGUGGGGAAUCUGCCUUUGAGCGGGGGACAACAUUUGGAAACGAAUGCUAAUACCGCAUAAAAACUUUAAACACAAGUUUUAAGUUUGAAAGAUGCAAUUGCAUCACUCAAAGAUGAUCCCGCGUUGUAUUAGCUAGUUGGUGAGGUAAAGGCUCACCAAGGCGAUGAUACAUAGCCGACCUGAGAGGGUGAUCGGCCACAUUGGGACGGAGACACGGCCCAGACUCCUACGGGAGGCAGCAGUAGGGAAUCUUCGGCAAUGGACGAAAGUCUGACCGAGCAACGCCGCGUGAGUGAAGAAGGUUUUCGGAUCGUAAAACUCUGUUGGUAGAGAAGAACGUUGGUGAGAGUGGAAAGCUCAUCAAGUGACGGUAACUACCCAGAAAGGGACGGCUAACUACGUG
Molecule: ribosomal RNA, 497 nt
Filed under: uncultured bacterium
Lineage: Bacteria
Description: partial 16S ribosomal RNA
Rfam family: Bacterial small subunit ribosomal RNA
Source: RNAcentral